This 106-nucleotide small nuclear RNA is filed under the name Vulpes vulpes (red fox). The record is from RNAcentral. Lineage: Eukaryota; Metazoa; Chordata; Mammalia; Carnivora; Canidae.
AUGCUCACUUGGCAGCAUGUGUGCUAAAAUUAGAAUGAUACAGAGAAGAUCAGCAUGGCCCCUGCACAAGAAUGACACAGAAAUACAUGAAAUGAUCAAGCAUAAG